This 253-nucleotide ribosomal RNA is filed under the name uncultured bacterium. Its description in RNAcentral is "partial 16S ribosomal RNA". It matches the Rfam family "Bacterial small subunit ribosomal RNA", at positions 524 to 776 of the family's 1533-position model. The record is from RNAcentral.
UACGAAGGGUGCUAGCGUUGUUCGGAAUCACUGGGCGUAAAGCGCGCGUAGGCGGCUUUGCAAGUCAGGGGUGAAAUCCCACGGCUCAACCGUGGAAUUGCCUCUGAAACUGCAAAGCUGGAGUACUGGAGGGGAUAGCGGAAUUCCUAAUGUAGAGGUGAAAUUCGUAGAUAUUAGGAGGAACACCGGUGGCGAAGGCGGCUAUCUGGACAGUAACUGACGCUGAAGCGCGAAAGCGUGGGGAUCAAACAGG